This 1046-nucleotide long non-coding RNA is filed under the name Homo sapiens (human). Its description in RNAcentral is "HSALNT0026909". The record is from RNAcentral. Lineage: Eukaryota; Metazoa; Chordata; Mammalia; Primates; Hominidae.
CUGGGGUGCGGGAGGAGGUGGGAGGGUGAGGCUGUGGCCAGCAGGAGCCAGGCCUCAGGGUGCCAGCCUGGACCAGGAGCAUGUGCUGGGGGCUUGCUUUCCGCAAUCAGGCACUUUUUCAAGUUGGUCCUGAACGGUUCUGGACUGGAUGGCAGGCUGCUGUGUGUGAUUGAGAAUGUUGCCUGUCUGAGCCCUGAGAUGAGCUGAGGGUUCCUCCUCCCCAGCCAGCACCAGCCUCACACAGCCCUUGUAAAUCUGAAAGUGCUGUUGGUAGCAACCAGGGAUGGGCAGAGGCAGCCCUGUCCUGAGGGUGACAUGAAAGUGAGAGCAAGCUGAAGCUCCAGUUGGCUUAGUCUUCAAAAGUGUCACUUUCAGAUUAUAUCCCUCAGCUUUAAAAUAUCCUUCUUUGAAGUCCAUCCUGCUCUGCCCACUAUUUGUCCCCGGUGGUCACUUCCUCCUCUGUGCUCCCGUGGCCUGGGAUUCACACCAGGAAAGAACGCCACGAAGAAGGAAUGGGUGAAGGACUUUAGUACGAUGGUCAAGACAAGAACCGUGGAGUCAGAAUGCCUGCAUGCAGAUCUCAUCACCAUGGAGUCUCGCUCUGUUGCCCAGGCUGGAGUGCAGGGGUGUGAUCUCAGUUCGCUGCAACCUCUGCCUCCCAGGUUCAAGUGAUUCUUCUGCCUCAUCCUCCUGAGUCGCUGGGAUUACAGGUGUGAGGUAUCAUGCCUGGCCCAAGAUUUACUUUAUUUGAUAUUAAUAUAGCCACAUCUGCUUACUUUUAAAAUUAAUGUCUGCAUGGCAUAUUAUUGCUAUUCCUUAAUUUCCAAUUUACCUCUAUCAUUAUAGCUUACCCACUGAUGUAGCUUUAGCAGCUGCUGUCCCAGUUCUCAAAUAUCCAGGCUAGCUUGGUGGCCCCUUUAUCCAUGGGUCAUUUAUUUAAUCCAAUCUGCCAAUCCCUGCCUUUAAUUAGUGUUUUUAAACCAUUUACAUUUAAUGUAAUUAUUCAUAGUUUAAUCUGAUGUCUGUUAUUUUAUUUUUUGUCUUCU